Molecule: long non-coding RNA, 1632 nt
Organism: Mauremys reevesii (Reeves's turtle)
Lineage: Eukaryota; Metazoa; Chordata; Testudines; Geoemydidae
Exons: 3
Source: RefSeq, a predicted model, not a curated record
GAAGGCAGGGGAGAAGUGCUUGCGACAGACAGUGCCUGGGAGAGAAGCCACAGUGGAGUAGAGCUAACUCCUGUGGUGGGUCUCUGAAGCAAGAGGCCAGGUGCUCCAGAAAGAGCUGGCUGAAACUGGGGAACUGCAAAGAGCAGGAUCACCAGAGACGCCUGGGACAGGUGUCUGUGAAACCCAAAGACAAAAGGUUUGCUCAUCAUUAUGAUCCAAUGACGGAUGCACCGUCGGGCUGAAGACCAUAUCAGAGAAGGGGAACUGAAAUCACUUCAUCCACCUGCUGAGCUAUUCUAACCAUUGACAGCAAGAUCUCAGACAAGAUACUGAAGGCACAGUGUGUCCAGAUCUCAUACUGAUUCAGAAGCCGUUUCAAGAAGCACAUAACCUUACUCCUGUUCAAGUGACUGUGGUUUGACACCUCCGUUUCCUACUUUGGCAUCAACACCUCUUUUUGCCUUUCCUCCUCUGCUUGCCCAAAGCAACAGCCAUUUCGCAGCACGUGUUUCUCAGAACUGAUCCCACUUCCUGGCUCUGACAACAAGGGCCAGCCUUUCAGACUCUGCAAAGGGCAAAUGGCAGGCGAGCAGCUGUCGGCACCUCAUGCACCAAGGAGUGGAGCUGGCACCGCACUGGGGCCAGAGCAAUAUGCAAAGACAUGGGAAGGGAGACAAACACCACAUCAUGCCCACAGUUUUCCUAAGGCUUAGCAUCUGAGACGGUCUAGAACAAGGGUGGCCAAACCGUGGGUCAAAACCGCAUGCGGAUCUUUUACAGAUAAAGUGUGGCUCUCAGAACCCCACCCCCAUUCUUCACCUAUCAGACUGCAGAGGACGGGGUAUGGGGGAGAAGCUCGGGACCUCUGCCUUGCAGCGGAAUGGUGGGGUAGGGGCUUCUGCCCAGCAGGGAGGGGUGUUUUGGGGCUACAGCCCCAUGGGGUGCGGCAGCCGGGGCUCAAGCCUUCAGCAGGAGCAGUGCUGAAGCCCUGAGUCCUGGCAAGCGCCUCCUGCAGGGCUGAAGCCCUGAGCCCCGGCGGGUGUGCCCUGGCUCUCAAACUUUGGAAGAUUGUCAGAUGUGGCUCGGAGGGUCAGUAAGUUUGGCCACCCUGGUACAGAACAUGCCAACAAUAGUUGGGUGCUGCUACUCCACUGCCCCCCUGUAGGGAAUUUUUUUUUAGCAAAGGCCAGAGAUAUGACUACCCUCACCCACUCACUGGCAUAGGGGAUAGCAUAAUUUGUUGCUGGUAUAGGCAAGCAGCAAACUACUGUAUUUCCUUCCCCUUCCCCAGAAGCCAGGAGGAAGCAGGGGUAGAACUGUGACUCAGAGGGGUGUCUCUGAGUCACAGUGCAUCCCGGGGCUUCUCCUAACUUGGCAUUGCUUCCUCACUACCCUUUGUUCAGGGCUGCAUCUAGGGUCACAGUCCAGCCCUGUGUGAUCUGACUGGCUGAAAGCGGUUCAGUUAUUUCUGGUGUAUGGUGGGAUAUGUUUCCUGGUAUCUCCUCCAUCAGCAGAUGGUGAGUUUCUUUGGGAAACCACUUUCUUUUUAAUGUAAAAACUUUCUUCAAAGCUGUUAUAGGGCUGCUGUGAUGCUGGCUCACGGCAGAAUCAACCUUACUAAACCAGCCAUUA